Molecule: long non-coding RNA, 444 nt
Filed under: Prunus persica (peach)
Lineage: Eukaryota; Viridiplantae; Streptophyta; Magnoliopsida; Rosales; Rosaceae
Description: long non-coding RNA (PPER_LNC001884)
Source: RNAcentral
UCUUCUUCUUCUCUCUCUCUCUCUCUCUCUCUCUCUCUAAAAGAAAUCAGAUUCAUCAUUGGGGAAGAUCCCUUAGGCUGGAUGAGUCAUAAAUUUAGGCUAGGUGACUCAUCGGUGGAUUUGAAAGCCUGAGGUUAGGGGAAAGAAUGGGAGGAGAGUGGGAUACUACCUUCCACGUUUUAGAUUCUCUUUUUUUUUUUUGGUGGUCUACACGAGUAUUUUUGUAAUUUUCACACAUAGGGGUAUUUUGGUCAUUUUGGUCCAAAAUUCAGAAACGAUUUCCGACGUGUUUGUUAAGUUGACUACUAUCGUACUCCCUAAGAGUUAUAAUUGUCUCACCUCAACUUCUUAAAUGUUCUUUGAAAAAAUUCACAAAAUAUUAUGUAAGGACAUUUUUAUCCAACUUAAAAUUACACACUCAAUCCAAUAGUCUCAAUCCAAAAU